Rana temporaria (common frog) is the source of this 106-nucleotide long non-coding RNA. RefSeq lists it as uncharacterized. The transcript has 3 exons. The record is from RefSeq and is a predicted model, not a curated record. NCBI's taxonomy places the organism in Eukaryota, Metazoa, Chordata, Amphibia, Anura, Ranidae.
UUUGACUUUGGUGCUGGGGGUGAUGGAUUGACCCAGAAUGGGCGGGGGCAUCCAUGUUGUUGCGGGAUGAAUCUUCAGAUUGGCCUGAAACAGGAGAAGUUCUGUU